RNAcentral lists this long non-coding RNA (1152 nucleotides) under Bemisia tabaci. RNAcentral's name for it is "lncRNA ENSASIAIIG004157". The record is from RNAcentral. Lineage: Eukaryota; Metazoa; Arthropoda; Insecta; Hemiptera; Aleyrodidae.
AUGGACAAAUUUCGGGUGCCGAAACUCUUCCAAAUUAUGGGGCUCGAGGCCAUAAGAGAGUUCCGAAGACAUACGGAACUAGCAUUUAUAAAGUCGGGUGAUUUGAAGCUCAAACUCUCCAUGGAACUGACUUCAGUAGAAGAGGCUCUUCAAAAUCACGAAGAAGUUCUGACUCUCCUUAACGACAUGGAAAACCAGAUAAAAUGUCGGACCACUUUGAUGAAAAAGAACGCAGAAAUAUACCUAAAACUCGGAACUGAGCAGCCAGUAUCUCAGAUUUUGGACUCAAAUGUUAAACCCAGCUCACGUUCUGCCAUGCGCAUGGUGCGUGUGCGGUACAGCACGGAGGAUGAGGGCUUCAAAUCUUCCACUCAAGAAAUCGGAGAUGUCGAAGAUCUUGGAGACGCUUCAGAUGCAGAAGUGUCCUCGCAUUCAGUUGCAGAUUCGUCAGAUUCAGAAAUGUCCUCAAAACCAGACGCAGACCCCCCAGAUUCAGAAGUAUCCUUGAAUCCAGUCGGAGACCCUUCAGAUUCAGGAAUGCUCUUGGAUCCAGUCGGAGACAUUAAUUCAGGAGUGCGCUCGAAUUUAGUUGGAGACUCCCAAGAUUCAGAAAUGCCCUCAAAUUCAGUUGGAUACUCUCCAGAUUCAGAAAUGCCAUCGAAUUUAGUCGGAGACUCCCAAGACUUAGAAAUGCCCUCGAAUUUAGUCGGAGACUCCCCAGAUUCCCCAGAUCCAGAAAUGCCCUUGCAUUUAGUUGGAGACUCCCAAGACUCAGAAAUACCAUCGAAUUUAGUCGGAGACUCCCUAGAUUCAGAAAUGCCAUCGAACUUAGUCGGAGACUCCCCAGAUUCCCCAGAUCCAGAGAUGCCCUUGCAUUUAGUUGGAGACUCCCAAGACUCAGAAAUGCCCUCGAAUUUAGUCGGAGACUCUCCAGAUUCAGAAGUGUCCUCCAAUUCAGAUGGAGGCUCUUCAGAUUCAGAAAUGUCCUCAAAUCAGAUCAAAAAACGGAGGCACGAUAGCACGUCAUCCGGAGAGCAAACAGCAGUGCCCAGCGAGGCCUGGGAAUCGGAACCCGGAGCCGAGAAGACAACCAAAAUUAAAAAUACACCAAAAAAAGGAGACUUGAUCGAACUAGGGGAACCGCACCACUGA